This 25721-nucleotide long non-coding RNA is filed under the name Xyrichtys novacula (pearly razorfish). Lineage: Eukaryota; Metazoa; Chordata; Actinopteri; Labriformes; Labridae. The record is from RNAcentral.
CUCCUGCCAUGGGGGGGGCGCUCUUUUGGGGAGUAAAAAUUCCUUCACAAAUGUGUUGAUGGCUGGACAUUGCAUCAUCCUAGAAAACUUGGAGGCCAGUGAGGACAAAAAUAAAAAGUUAUAAGACUUUUAAGAAUGUGGAUUUUUGGGUUAUCUUUGGCGCCCCCUAGAACCUAAACCGUGGGGUGCAGCGUCAUGAUUUGUACAACUUUGAAUGGCCAUGGGGUGUAGAUUGGCCUGAGCAAAUUUGGUGCCGGUGGAACGAAAGCCUUCGGAGGAGUUAGCGAAAUUCCAAUGUGUGCGGAUCGGCAAAAAAUGCGAAAUAGCCCUUUAACCGUACAUUAUACAGAUACGCGCUCUUUGACUUUUUCGUAGAUCUUAUUGAGAUACACGUGUGUGUCAAAUUUUGUGUCAAUAUGACAAAGCGUUCAGGCAUGACACUCAACAAUGUGUAUUUUCACCUUAGGGGACAAGAAAAAAUGGACUUUUUUCUCCUGCCAUGGGGGGGCGCUCUUUUGGGGAGUAAAAAUUUCUUCACAAAUGUGUUGAUGGCUGGACAUUGCAUCAUCCUAGAAAACUUGGAGGCCAGUGAGGACAAAAAUAAAAAGUUAUAAGACUUUUAAGACUGUGGAUUUUUGGGUUAUCUUUGGCGCCCCCUAGAAUGUAAACCGUGGGGUGCAGCGUCAUGAUUUGUACAACUUUGAAUGGCCAUGGGGUGUAGAUUGUCCUGAGCAAAUUUGUUGCCGGUGGAACGAAAGCCUUCGGAGGAGUUAGCGAAAUUCCAAUGUGUGCGGAUCGGCAAAAAAUGCGAAAUAGCCCUUUAACCGUACAUUUGACAGAUACGCCCGCACUGACUUUUUUUUAGAUCUUAUUGAGAUACACAUGUGUGUCAAAUUUUGUGUCAUUUUGACAAAGCGUACAGGCGUCAGGUGAGUUUUCACCAUAGGGGGCGCUAUGGAGCCAUUUUUCAUUUUUUUGUUUGGGCGACUUCAGAAUAUCGAAUUUUUCACCAGGCCCGGUCGUCCUGCCAAAUUUCCUGAGUUUUCGCCAGUGGGAAGUGGGCCAUUUUCCAGUUUAAAGCGGAGGAAAAAUAACGAAAGAAGAAUCCAUCAGGAACAAGAGGGCUCUCGCAGCUGCUUAGCAGCUACGCUCGGGCCCUAAUAACAAACUAGGGCCCCGGUGGGGCACUGUCGGGCCCGAGCCGCGUCGCGCCGCCCCCAGUGCGACCGCCUCCCCGUCCCGAUCGAGUCACACUCAAGAACCAAAGAUGGUGUGCGCACUUGUCUGUGGUCAUUUCCCAUUAUAAUGAAUGGGAGGCGCAGUUUCUACCAAAACACUCGCUGCAGACAAACUUCAUGUCCUAUUUGAAAAAAGUCUGGACCAUGAGUGAGGGCACAAACACAGCUAUGAUAUAUCGAAAUGCCAGGUUGCUCCUCCUUACGGUGUUGCCUGGAGAGCGAUGCGAUUGAGCCAUUGAGCGAUGGGCAGGAAAAACUUGACUUUUUCUCCUGCCAUAGGGGGGGAUGUGGAUUCUUUUAAGAAUGUGGAUUUUUGGGUCAUCUUUGGCGCCCCCUAGAACGUAAACCGUGGGGUGCAGCGUCAUGAUUUUUACAACUUUGAAUGGCCAUGGGGUGUAGAUUGGCCUGAGCAAAUUUGGUGUCAGUGGGACGAAAGCCUUAGGAGGAGUUAGCCACAUUCCAAUGUGUGCGAAUCGGCAAAAAAUGCAAAAUAGCCCUUUAACCGUACAUUUGACAGAUACGCGCGAAUUGACUUUUUUGUAGAUCUUAUUGAGAUACAUAUGUGUGUCAAUUUUUGUGUCAAUAUGAUAAAGCGUACAGGCGUGACAGUCAAUAGUGUGAAUUUCCACCUUAGGGGACAAGAAAAAAUGGACUUUUUUCUCCUGCCAUGGGGGGCGCUCUUUUGGGGAGUAAAAAUUCCUUCACAAAUGUGUUGAUGGCUGGACAUUGCAUCAUCCUAGAAAACUUGGAGGCCAGUGAGGACAAAAAUAAAAAGUUAUAAGACUUUUAAAUAUGUGGAUUUUAGGGUUAUCUUUGGCGCCCCCUAGAACCUAAACCGUGGGAUGCAGCGUCAUGAUUUGAAUAACUUUUAAUGGCCAUGGGGUGUAGAUUGGCCUGAGCAAAUGUGGUGCCGGUGGAACGAAAGCCUUCGGAGGAGUUAGCGAAAUUCCAAUGUGUGCGGAUCGGCAAAAAAUGCGGAAUAACCCUUUAACCGUACAUUUGACAGAUACGCGCGCAUUGACUUUUUCGUAGAUCUUAUUGAGAUACAUGUGUGUGUCAAUUUUUGUGUCAUUUUGCCAAAGCGUACAGGUGUUACACUCAACAAUGUGUAUUUUCACCUUAGGGGACAAGAAAAAAUUGACUUUUUUCUCCUGCCAUGGGGGGGCGCUCUUUUGGGGAGUAAAAAUUCCUUCACAAAUGUGUUGAUGGCUGGACAUUGCAUCAUCCUAGAAAACUUGGAGGCCAGUGAGGGCAAAAAUAAAAAGUUAUAAGACUUUUAAAUAUGUGGAUCUUAGGGUUAUCUUUGGCGCCCCCUAGAACCUAAACCUUGGGGUGCAGCGUCAUGAUUUGAAUAACUUUUAAUGGCCAUGGGGUGUAGAUUGGCCUGAGCAAAUGUGGUGCCGGUGGAACGAAAGCCUUCGGAGGAGUUAGCGAAAUUCCAAUGUGUGCGGAUCGGCAAAAAAUGCGAAAUAACCCUUUAACCGUACAUUUUACAGAUACGUGGCCAUUGACUUUUUCGAAGAUCUUAUGUAAAUACACGUGUAUGUAAAAUUUUGUGUCAAUACGACAAAACAUACAGGCGUAGCACUCAACAAUGUGUAUUUUCACCUUAGUGGACAAGAAAAAAUGGACUUUUUUCUCCUGCCAUGGGGGGGCGCUCUUUUGGCGAGUAAAAAUUCCUUCACAAAUGUGUUGAUGGCUGGACAUUGCAUCAUCCUAGAAAACUUGGAGGCCAGUGGGGACAAAAAUAAAAAGUUAUAAGACUUUUAAAUAUGUGGAUUUUACGGUUAUCUUUGGCGCCCCCUAGAACCUAAACCGUGGGGUGCAGCGUCAUGAUUUGAAUAACUUUUAAUGGCCAUGGGGUGUAGAUUGGCCUGAGCAAAUGUGGUGCCGGUGGAACGAAAGCCUUCGGAGGAGUUAGCGAAAUUCCAAUGUGUGCGGAUCGGCAAAAAAUGCGAAAUAACCCUUUAACCGUACAUUUGACAGAUACGCCCGCACUGACUUUUUUGUAGAUCUUAUUGAGAUACAUGUGUGUGUCAAUUUUUGUGUCAUUUUGACAAAGCGUACAGGCGUGACAGUCAAUAGUGUGAAUUUUCACCUUAGGGGGCGCUAUGGAGCCAUUUUGCAUUUUCUUGUUUGGGCGACUUCGGAAUAUCAAAUUUUUCACCAGGCCCGGUCGUCCUGCCAAAUUUCAUGAGUUUUCGCCAGUGGGAAGUGGGCCAUUUUCCAGUUCAAAGGGGAGGAAAAAUAAUACUAGGACCCCGUUGGGGCACUGGCGGGCCCGAGCUGUGUCGCGUCCCCCCCCCAACGCGCUGCCUCCCCGUCCCAUUUGUGUCCUCUGGCCAUCGACCUCUCUGGUAACGCCCAUCUCUGCAAAGACCCUUUUCCUUCAUCGGCGUUUGCUGUUCUUCCUGCCAGUGCGUGUUGCUUUCACUUACACUUGCCACAGCCAGCCUCGUGAGUGCCUAGCCUAUUGGAUAUCACUGUCACCUACACAGGACAGUCAUUACCUUUCUAUUAAUACUUUGUUUUUUAAUUUCACAUUAAUUUCCAUAUUGUAUAAACAACUGGAAAAAACUUGAGCCCCUGCCCCUGUAUAAUCAUGUGCACGUCUUUGUUCUAGCUCUAAGGUGAAUCUUCACUGCUCAUGUUCUCCUCAGAAGCAGUCACCUCACUCCCCUCAGGUUACUGUACACAUGCACCAACUGCCUGCUUCAGGUUUGGAUGGAGCUUCAUGGUUGUCUUUUGGAGAAAUGAGCAGUAAAGUUGUGUUUGAAAUUUGAUUUUUUUCAGGGGCAAAAGGACCCUCUGCAUUCUUGUCAAAUAUGUAAAUAGCAUGUUUUUGCAGGUGCUAAAAACCAGACUCUGAGUGUGUGUGUGUGUGUGUGUGUGUGUGUGUGUCUGUGUGUGUGUGUGUGUGUGUGUGUGUGUGUGUGUGCGUUCAAGUCACAUGACAUAUUUAACCGGAUGUAGCUGCAAGACGGAGCCUCGUUGACUCUCCGUUUCAAUUUAUCUCAAAAGUGAGGACCUCAACCUAUAUACCAGUUUUUAAAUUGUGUUGAUAGGCCAAAUAAAACCAGAGUUAUGAUAAAUUAUGUCCGCGAUACUUUUUUUCUGCUUAUUUUGAUCACGUUCGGCGCUCGAUCGCGCUGUAUGAGACAGGAAAACAUAGCAUGCAGACAUUAGCGACAGGUCUUACAGGCGGAAAAGGCUUGCCAAAGGAAAAAAAAAACACACCACAACAUCUCUCCUAUUGGUGGAAAACUUCACCACAACAACCAAUCCAAAAUUAUAUGGUGACUGAUUGACAAGGGGCGGGAACUUACGUUCUUCCUGCAAUAUGAGAAGGGAGGGAGGGACUCUCAGCAGGGAUGCAGUCUGGGACACGUAGUUGCAAACCUAGCGACUUUGUUGUUAGAUUCAAUGACUUUUCAGACCCCCUAACAACUUUUUUUUAGAAAGAAAGGGACUUUUAUCGACUUCUUCUGGAGUUUAGAGACUCUGACAUGAAGCAGGCUUUCCUUACUGAGGAGUUAGCAACGCUGCUAAGGGUGCAGAGCCACACAUGCGCUCAGAGCUCUGCAUGGGAGACUGAAGCUGACAGAGCUGCAGCAGUUAGCAGGUUUCACCCUCAGAGACCACCAGGGGUUCAUGUUGAGGCAUUUUCAGUUUUUUUUUUUUUUUUUUGCCAUAGACACUGUCAGCACAAUCUGCAGUUACACUAACAAAAAUGCUGCAAAAAACAAAGAAUUAUGGAAAAAUUACACAUGGACUAACAUAGAGGAGGAUCUACACAAGUUUUUUACAUCAUGUUUUACAUCAUGCAUCAUUUACAUCAUGUUUUUUUGUAGUGGCAUAAAUAAAAAGUGACAUUUGUGAGACUAUACAGUGUUUUGUAAAUAAUUUUACAAAGAACACCUGGGCCAUGGCCUGCAUUUUGAUGUCAAUAGAGGUAAAUUACUAUGUUCUUUGUUAAAAAUUUGCAUAUGUUUUGAAGUUUACAAUUUUUAUUUGAAGUUUAAGUUUUAAAAACAGUUCAUCACACAUAUUUGUGGUUUUCACAGUAAAAACGUUACUUUUUUCCACUCGGAUUUUAUGUUUUGUGUGUGAAUUUGGGUCCAAUGUGUAAAUAUAGUAUGUCAAAAUGAUAAAAUAACUGUAAAUUGACACAGGUGAGGUUGUGCUGAAAAAAAUGAUACCAGGCAAGGCAAGGUAAAAAUUUUGUAAGAGGAAAUAUAAAGGUAAAAUCUAAAGUAGUCAAAAACGGCCAAUAGUGACUCACAGACUCCACAGACAAGUCCCUUUGGCGCCACUCAGUGGGCAAAACUACUUUGUCUACUGUAAUGUAUAUUUGGGUCAUCUUUGGCGCCCCCUAAAACGUAAACCGUGGGGUGCAGCGUCAUGAUUUUUACAACUUCGAAUGGCCAUGGAGUGUAGAUUGGCCUGAGCAAAUUUGGUGUCAGUGGGACGAAAGCCUUAGGAGGAGUUAGCGAAAUUCCAAUGUGUGCGAAUCGGCAAAAAAUGCAAAAUAGCCCUUUUACCGUACAUUAUACAGAUACGCGCUCUUUGACUUUUUCGUAGAUCUAAUUGAGAUACACAUGAUUGUCAAUUUUUGUGUCAUUUUGCCAAAGCGUACAGGCGUGACAGUCAACAAUGUGUAUUUUCACCUUAGGGGACAAGAAAAAAUGGACUUUUUUCUCCUGCCAUGGGGGGGCGCUCUUUUGGGGAGUAAAAAUUCCUUCACAAAUGUGUUGAUGGCUGGACAUUGCAUCAUCCUAGAAAACUUGGAGGCCAGUGAGGACAAAAAUAAAAAGUUAUAAGACUUUUAAAAAUGUGGAUUUUUGGGUUAUCUUUGGCGCCCCCUAGAACGUAAACCGUGGGGUGCAGCGUCAUGAUUUGAAUAACUUUUAAUGGCCAUGGGGGGUAGAUUGGCCUGAGCAAAUGUGGUGCUGGUGGAACGAAAGCCUUCGGAGGAGUUAGCGAAAUUCCAAUGUGUGCGGAUCGGCAAAAAAUGCGGAAUAACCCUUUAACCGUACAUUUGACAGAUACGCGCGCAUGGACUUUUUUGUAGAUCUUAUUGAGAUACAUGUGUGUGUCAAUUUUUGUGUCAUUUUGACAAAGCGUACAGGCGUGACACUCAACAAUGUGUAUUUUCACCUUAGGGGACAAGAAAAAAUGGACUUUUUUCUCCUGCCAUGGGGGGGCGCUCUUUUGGCGAGUAAAAAUUCCUUCACAAAUGUGUUGAUGGCUGGACAUUGCAUCAUCCUAGAAAACUUGGAGGCCAGUGAGGGCAAAAAUAAAAAGUUAUAAGACUUUUAAAUAUGUGGAUUUUAGGGUUAUCUUUGGCGCCCCCUAGAACCUAAACCGUGGGGUGCAGCGUCAUGAUUUGAAUAACUUUUAAUGGCCAUGGGGUGUAGAUUGGCCUGAGCAAAUGUGGUGCCGGUGGAACGAAAGCCUUCGGAGGAGUUAGCGAAAUUCCAAUGUGUGUGGAUCGGCAAAAAAUGCGAAAUAGCCCUUUAACCGUACAUUUGACAGAUACGCCCGCACUGACUUUUUUGUAGAUCUUAUUGAGAUACAUGUGUGUGUCAAUUUUUGUGUCAUUUUGACAAAGCGUACAGGCGUGACAGUCAAUAGUGUGAAUUUUCACCUUAGGGGGCGCUAUGGAGCCAUUUUGCAUUUUCUUGUUUGGGCGACUUCGGAAUAUCAAAUUUUUCACCAGGCCCGGUCGUCCUGCCAAAUUUCAUGAGUUUUCGCCAGUGGGAAGUGGGCCAUUUUCCAGUUCAAAGGGGAGGAAAAAGAAAAAAGAAACAAAGAAAAACCACUUGGGGAAUAAUAGGGCUCUCGCAGCUGCUUAGCAGCUACGCUCGGGCCCUAAAUAAUAAUAACAAAAGAAGGAAACUACAGGAACAAGAGGGCUCUCGCAGCUGCUUAGCAGCUACGCUCGGGCCCUAACUAGGGCCCCGUUGGGGCACUGGCGGGCCCGAGCCGUGUCGCGCCGCCCCCAACAUGACCGCCUCUCCCUACCGAUCGCGUCACACUCAAGGUCCAAAGAUGGUGUGCGCACUUGUCUGUGGUCAUUUACAAUUAUAAUGAAUGGGAGGCGCAGUUUCUACCAAAACGCUCGCCGCAGACAAACUACAUGUCCUAUUUGAAAAGGACUGGACCAUGAGUGAGGGCACAAACACAGCUAGGAUAUAUCCAAAUGGCAAGUUGCUCCUCCUUUCGGUUUUGCCGAGAGAGCGAUGUGUUUGAGUCAUUGAGCGAUGGGCAGGAAAAACUUGACUUUUUCUCCUGCCAUGGGGGGGCGCUCUUUUAGGGAGUAAAAAUUCCUUCACAAAUGUGUUGAUGGCUAGACAUUGCAUCAUCCUAGAAAACUUGGAGGCCAGUGAGGACAAAAAUAAAAAGUUAUAAGACUUUUAAGAAUGUGGAUUUUUGGGUUAUCUUUGGCGCCCCCUAGAACAUAAACCGUGGGGUGCAGCGUCAUGAUUUUUACAACUUUGAAUGGCCAUGGGGUGUAGAUUGGCCUGAGUAAAUUUGGUGUCAGUGGAACGAAAGCUUUAGGAGGAGUUAGCCACAUUCCAAUGUGUGCGAAUCGACCAAAAAUGCGAAAUAGCCCUUUAACCGUACAUUUUACAGAUACGCGCCCAUUGACUAUUUCGUAGAUCUUAUUGAGAAACACGUGAUUGUCAAAGUUUGUUUCAAUAUGACAAAGCGUACAGGCGUGACACUCAAUAAUGUGAAUUUUCACCUUAGGGGGGAAGAAAAACUGGACUUUUUUCUCCUGCCAUGGGGGGGCGCUCUUUUGGGGAGUAAAAAUUCCUUCACAAAUGUGUUGAUGGCUAGACAUUGCAUCAUCCUAGAAAACUUGGAGGCCAGUGAGGACAAAAAUAAAAAGUUAUACGACUUUUAAGAAUGUGGAUUUCUGGGUUAUCUUUGGCGCCCCCUAGAACGUAAACCGUGGGAUGCAGCAUCAUGAUUUGUACAACUUUUAAUGGCCAUGGGGUGUAGAUUGGCCUGAGCAAAUUUGGUGCCGGUGGAACGAAAGCCUUCGGAGGAGUUAGCGAAAUUCCAAUGUGUGCGGAUCGGCAAAAAAUGCGAAAUAGCCCUUUAACCGUACAUUUGAGAGAUACGCCCGCACUGACUUUUUUGUAGAUCUUAUUGAGAUACACGUGUGUGUCAAAUUUUGUGUCAUUUUGACAAAGCGUACAGGCGUGACACUCAAUCAUGUGAAUUUUUCACCUUAGGGGGCGCUAUGGAGCCAUUUUGCAUUUGAUUUUUUGGGCGACUUCAGAAUAUCGAAUUUUUCACCAGGCCCGGUCGUCCUGCCAAAUUUCAUGACUUUUCACCAGUGGGAAGUGGGCCAUUUUCCAGUUCAAAGGGGCAGAAAAAUAACUAGGGCCCCGGUGGGGCACUGUCGGGCCCGAGCCGCGUCGCGCCGCCCCCAGCGCGACCGCCUCCCCUUCCCGAUCGCGUCACACUCAAGGUCCAAAGAUGGUGUGCGCACUUGUCUGUGGUCAUUUCCCAUUAUAAUGAAUGGGAGGCGCAGUUUCUACCAAAACGCUCGCUGCAGACAAACUACAUGUCCUAUUUGAAAAAAGUCUGGACCAUGAGUGAGGGCACAAACACAGCUAGUAUAUAUCCAAAUGGCAAGUUGCUCCUCCUUUCGGUUUUGCAGAGAGAGCGAUGCGUUUGAGCCAUUGAGCGAUGGGCAGGAAAAACUUGACUUUUUCUCCUGCCAUGGGGGGGCGCUCUUUUGGGGAGAAAAAAUUCCUUCACAAAUGUGUUGAUGGCUGGACAUUGCAUCAUCCUAGAAAACUUGGAGGCCAGUGAGGACAAAAAUAAAAAGUUAUAAGACUUUUAAAAAUGUGGAUAUUUGGGUCCUCUUUGGCGCCCCCUAGAACGUAAACUGUGGGGUGCAGCGUCAUGAUUUGUACAACUUUGAAUGGCCAUGGGGUGUAGAUUGACCUGAGCAAAUUUGAAGCCGAUGGGACAAAAGAUUUAGGAGGAGUUAGCGAAAUUCCAAUGUGUGCGGAUCGGCAAAAAAUGCGAAAUAACCCUUUAACCGUACAUUUGACAGAUACGCCCGCACUGACUUUUUUGUAGAUCUUAUUGAGAUACAUGUGUGUGUCAAAUUUUGUGUCAUUUUGACAAAGCGUAAAGGCGUGACAGUCAACAAUGUGUAUUUUCGCCUUAGGAGACAAGAAAAAAUGGACUUUUUUCUCCUGCCAUGGGGGGGCGCUCUUUUGGCGAGUAAAAAUUCCUUCACAAAUGUGUUGAUGGCUGGACAUUGCAUCAUCCUAGAGAACUUGGAGGCCAGUGAGGACAAAAAUAAAAAGUUAUAAGACUUUUAAGACUGUGGAUUUUUGGGUUAUCUUUGGCGCCCCCUAGAACGUAAACCGUGGGGUGCAGCGUCAUGAUUUGUACAACUUUUAAUGGCCAUGGGGUGUAGAUUGGCCUCAGCAAAUGUGGUGCCUUUGGAACGAAAGCCUUCGGAGGAGUUAGCGAAAUUCCAAUGUGUGCGGAUCGGCAAAAAAUGCGAAAUAGCCCUUUCACCGUACAUUUGACAGAUACGCCCGCACUGACUUUUUUGUAGAUCUUAUUGAGAUACAUGUGUGUGUCAAUUUUUGUGUCAAUAUGACAAAGCGUAAAGGCGUGACAGUCAAUAGUGUGAAUUUUCGCCUUAGGAGACAAGAAAAAAUGGACUUUUUUCUCCUGCCAUGGGGGGGCGCUCUUUUGGGGAGUAAAAAUUCCUUCAAAAAUGUGUUGAUGGCUGGACAUUGCAUCAUCCUAGAAAACUUGGAGGCCAGUGAGGACAAAAAUAAAAAGUUAUACGACUUUUAAGAAUGUGGAUUUCUGGGUUAUCUUUGGCGCCCCCUAGAACGUAAACCGUGGGAUGCAGCGUCACGAUUUGUACAACUUUUAAUGGCCAUGGGGUGUAGAUUGGCCUGAGCAAAUUUGGUGCCGGUGGAACGAAAGCCUUCGGAGGAGUUAGCGAAAUUCCAAUGUGUGCGGAUCGGCAAAAAAUGCGAAAUAGCCCUUUAACCGUACAUUUGACAGAUACGCCCGCACUGACUUUUUUGUAGAUCUUAUUGAGAUACACGUGUGUGUCAAAUUUUGUGUCAUUUUGACAAAGCGUACAGGCGUGACACUCAAUCAUGUGAAUUUUUCACCUUAGGGGGCGCUAUGGAGCCAUUUUGCAUUUGAUUGUUUGGGCGACUUCAGAAUAUCGAAUUUUUCACCAGGCCCGGUCGUCCUGCCAAAUUUCAUGACUUUUCACCAGUGGGAAGUGGGCCAUUUUCCAGUUCAAAGGGGCAGAAAAAUAAUAAGAAGAAGAAGAAGAAAGAAGAAUCCAUCAGGAAUAAUAGGGCUCUCGCAGCUGCUUAGCAGCUACGCUCGGGCCCUAACUAGGGCCCCGGUGGGGCACUGUCGGGCCCGAGCCGCGUCGCGCCGCCCCCAGCGCGACCGCCUCCCCCUCCCGAUCGCGUCACACUCAAGGUCCAAAGAUGGUGUGCGCACUUGUCUGUGGUCAUUUCCCAUUAUAACGAAUGGGAGGCGCAGUUUCUACCAAAACGCUCGCUGCAGACAAACUACAUGUCCUAUUUGAAAAAAGUCUGGACCAUGAGUGAGGGCACAAACACAGCUAGUAUAUAUCCAAAUGGCAAGUUGCUCCUCCUUUCGGUUUUGCAGAGAGAGCGAUGCGUUUGAGCCAUUGAGCGAUGGGCAGGAAAAACUUGACUUUUUCUCCUGCCAUGGGGGGCGCUCUUUUGGGGAGAAAAAAUUCCUUCACAAAUGUGUUGAUGGCUGGACAUUGCAUCAUCCUAGAAAACUUGGAGGCCAGUGAGGACAAAAAUAAAAAGUUAUAAGACUUUUAAAAAUGUGGAUAUUUGGGUCCUCUUUGGCGCCCCCUAGAACGUAAACUGUGGGGUGCAGCGUCAUGAGUUGUACAACUUUGAAUGGCCAUGGGGUGUAGAUUGACCUGAGCAAAUGUGGUGCCUUUGGAACGAAAGCCUUCGGAGGAGUUAGCGAAAUUCCAAUGUGUGCGGAUCGGCAAAAAAUGCGAAAUAGCCCUUUCACCGUACAUUUGACAGAUACGCCCGCACUGACUUUUUUGUAGAUCUUAUUGAGAUACAUGUGUGUGUCAAUUUUUGUGUCAAUAUGACAAAGCGUAAAGGCGUGACAGUCAAUAGUGUGAAUUUUCGCCUUAGGAGACAAGAAAAAAUGGACUUUUUUCUCCUGCCAUGGGGGGGCGCUCUUUUGGGGAGUAAAAAUUCCUUCACAAAUGUGUUGAUGGCUGGACAUUGCAUCAUCCUAGAAAACUUGGAGGCCAGUGAGGACAAAAAUAAAAAGUUAUACGACUUUUAAGAAUGUGGAUUUCUGGGUUAUCUUUGGCGCCCCCUAGAACGUAAACCGUGGGAUGCAGCGUCAUGAUUUGUACAACUUUUAAUGGCCAUGGGGUGUAGAUUGGCCUGAGCAAAUUUGGUGCCGGUGGAACGAAAGCCUUAGGAGGAGUUAGCGAAAUUCCAAUGUGUGCGGAUCGGCAAAAAAUGCGAAAUAGCCCUUUAACCGUACAUUUGACAGAUACGCCCGCACUGACUUUUUUGUAGAUCUUAUUGAGAUACACGUGUGUGUCAAAUUUUGUGUCAUUUUGACAAAGCGUACAGGCGUGACACUCAAUCAUGUGAAUUUUUCACCUUAGGGGGCGCUAUGGAGCCAUUUUGCAUUUGAUUUUUUGGGCGACUUCAGAAUAUCGAAUUUUUCACCAGGCCCGGUCGUCCUGCCAAAUUUCAUGACUUUUCACCAGUGGGAAGUGGGCCAUUUUCCAGUUCAAAGGGGCAGAAAAAUAAUAAGAAGAAGAAGAAGAAAGAAGAAUCCAUCAGGAAUAAUAGGGCUCUCGCAGCUGCUUAGCAGCUACGCUCGGGCCCUAAAUAGCCCUUUAACCGUACAUUUGACAGAUACGUGCGCGCAGACUUUUUUGUAGAUCUUAUUGAGAUACACGUGUGUGUCAAAUUUUAUGUCAAUAUGACAAAGCGUAUAGGCGUGACACUCAACAAUAUGUAUUUUCACCUUAGGGGACAAGAAAAAAUGGACUUUUUUCUCCUGCCAUGGGGGGGCGCUCUUUUGGCGAGUAAAAAUUCCUUCACAAAUGUGUUGAUGGCUGGUCAUUGCAUCAUCCUAGAAAACUUGGAGGCCAGUGAGGGCAAAAAUAAAAAGUUAUUAGACUUUUAAGAAUGUGGAUUUUUGGGUUAUCUUUGGCGCCCCCUAGAACGUAAACCGUGGGGUGCAGCGUCAUGAUUUGUACAACUUUUAAUGGCCAUGGGGUGUAGAUUGGCCUGAGCAAAUGUGGUGUCGGUGGAACGAAAGCCUUCGGAGGAGUUAGCGAAAUUCCACUGUGUGCGGAUCGGCAAAAAAUGCGAAAUAGCCCUUUAACCGUACAUUUGACAGAUACGCCCGCGCUGACUUUUUUGUAGAUCUUAUUGAGAUACACGUGUGUGUCAAAUUUUGUGUCAUUUUGACAAAGCGUACAGGUGUGACACUCAAUCAUGUGAAUUUUUCACCUUAGGGGGCGCUAUGGAGCCAUUUUGCAUUUGAUUGUUUGGGCGACUUCAGAAUAUCGAAUUUUUCACCAGGCCCGGUCGUCCUGCCAAAUUUCAUGAGUUUUCACCAGUGGGAAGUGGGCCAUUUUCCAGUUCAAAGGGGCAGAAAAAUAAUAAUAAGAAGAAGAAAGAAGAAUCCAUCAGGAAUAAUAGGGCUCUCGCAGCUGCUUAGCAGCUACGCUCGGGCCCUAAUAAGAAGAAGAAGAAGACUAGGGCCCCGUUGGGGCACUGGCGGGCCCGAGCCGUGUCGCGCUGCCCCCCCCAACGCGCUGCCUCCCCGUCCCAUUCGCGUCCUCUGGCCAUCGCCCUCUCUGGUAACGCCCAUCACUGCAAAGACUCUUUCCUUCAUCGGCGUUUGCUGUUCUUCCUGCCAGUGCGUGUUGCUUUCACUUACACUUGCCACAGCCAGCCUCGUGAGUGCCUAGCCUAUUGGAUAUCACUGUCAUCUACACAGGACAGUCAUAACCUUUCUAUUAAUACUUGUUUUUUAAUUUCACAUUAAUUUCAAUAUUGUAUAAAUGACUGGAAAAAACUUGAGCCCCUGCCCCUGUAUAAUCAUGUGCACGUCCCUGUUCUAGCUCCAAGGUGAAUCUUCACUGCUCAUGUUCUCCUCAGAAGUAGUCACCUCACUUUCCUCAGGUGACUGUACACAUGCACCAACUGCCUGCUUCAGGUUUGGAUGGAGCUUCAUGGUUGUCUUUUGGAGAAAUGAGCAGUCAAGUUGUGUUUGAAAUUAGAUUUUUUUCAGGGGCAAAAAGGGGCCUCUGCAUUCUAGUCAAAUAUGUAAAUAGCAUGUUUUUGCAGGUGCUAAAAAAAAGACUCUGAGUGUGUGUGUGUAUAUCCUGCAGUACUCUGAGAAGAAUAAUAAGCAUAUUUCUGAGGUGAAUUUUGAAGAUUCAUCUGAGAGUUAGGAGGGCUGAUCAUUCCCUUACCCUUUAGAUGUCUGUCUAUGUCUGUUUUUGUGUGAUAAUGAAAGAAUCCCAACUCAAAAAGGCUCUGUUGAUGUUUUUUUUUUGUUGUUGUUCAUUCAUAUUCAAACCACUAUUUUAUAUCACUGCUAAUACGCCAAGACCUUUUUAUGGAAUUUAGCUUUAUUAUUUCUAUACAUUUUGCAAGGAAAGAAACCAAGGCCUUCACUAAAAUUUCCAUAAACUUUAGGAAAGGACCUCUGGUUGUUUAACGGGGUCAUUACUGCAAAAACAUAUUCUUCCUAAAUUUUGAAGGUCAAAGCUUAGAUCCAUUAGGUUUAAAUAGAAAAAGCAUUAAAAUAUGUUAGGAUUAUAGCAUAUGACAAAUAUGUGCCUUUCAGUGGCCACAACUACUUUGUCUGCUGGCUCUGCAGUCGAUUGACGCUCCCCAGCGUUCAAGUCACAUUACAUAUUUAACCGGAUGUAGCAGCAAGACGGAGCCUCGUUGACUCUCCGUUUCAACUUAUCUCAAAAGUGAGGACCUCAAACUAUACGCCAGUUUGCAAAUUGUGUUGAUAGGCCAAAUAAAACCAGAGUUAUGAUAAAUUAUGUCCGCGAUACUUUUUUUCUGCUUAUUUUGAUCACGUUCGGCGCUCGAUCGCGCUGUAUGAGACAGGAAAACAUAGCAUGCAGACAUUAGCGACAGGUCUUGCAGGCGGAAAAGGCUUGCCAAAGAAAAAGAAAAACACACCACAACAUCUCUCCUAUUGGUGGAAAACUUCACCACAACAACCAAUCCAAAAUUAUAUGGUGACUGAUUGACAAGGGGCGGGCGCUUACGUUCUUCCUGCAACAUGAGAAGGGAGGGAGGAACUCUCAGCAGGGAUGCAGUCUGGGACACGUAGUUGCAAACCUAGCGACUUUGUUGUUAGAUUCAAUGACUUUUCAGACCCCCUAACGACUUUUUUUUAGAAAGAAAGGGACUUUUAUCGACUUCUUCUGGAGUUUAGAGACUCUGACAUGAAGCAGGCUUUCCUUACUGAGGAGUUAGCAACGCUGCUAAGGGUGCAGAGCCACACAUGCGCUCCGAGCUCUGCAUGGGAGACUAAAGCUGACAGAGCUGCAGCAGUUAGCAGGUUUCACCCUCAGAGACCACCAGGGGUUCAUGUUGAGGCAUUUUCAGUUUUUUUUUUUUUUUUGCCAUAGACACUGUCAGCACAAUCUGCAGUUACACUAACAAAAAUGCUGCAAAAAACAAAGAAUUAUGGAAAAAUUACACAUGGACUAACAUAGAGGAGGAUCUACACAAGUUUUUUACAUCAUGUUUUACAUCAUGCAUCAUUUACAUCAUGUUUUUUUGUAGUGGCAUAAAUAAAAAGUGACAUUUGUGAGACUAUACAGUGUUUUGUAAAUAAUUUUACAAAGAACGCCUGGGCCAUUGCCUGCAUUUUGAUGUAAAUAGAGGUAAAUUACUAUGUUCUUUGUUAAAAAUUUGCAUAUGUUUUGAAGUUUACAAUUUUUAUUUGAAGUUUAAGUUUUAAAAACAGUUCAUCACACAUAUUUGUGGUUUAAUUUCACAUUAAUUUCCAUAUUGUAUAAAUGACUGGAAAAAACUUGAGCCCCUGCCCCUGUAUAAUCAUGUGCACGUCCCUGUUCUAGCUCCAAGGUGAAUCUUCACUGCUUAUGUUCUCCUCAGAAAUAGUCACCUCACUCUCCUCAGGUUACUGUACACAUGCACCAACUAUCUGCUUCAGGUUUGAAAUGGAGCUUCAUGGUUGUCUUUUGGAGAAAUGAACAGUCAAGUUGUGUUUGAAAUUUGAUUUUUUUCAGGGGCAAAAGGAAGCCUCUGCAUUCUUGUCAAAUAUGUAAACAGCAUGUUUUUGCAGGUGCUUAAAAACAGACUCUGAGUGUGUGUGUGUGUGUGUGUGUGUGUGUGUGUGUGUGUGUGUGUGUGUGUGUGUGUGUGUGUAUGUUGGCGUGUGUGUAUAUGUGUGUGUAUCCUGCAGUACUCUGUACUCCUGCAGUGGCCAAAAAGACUUUUAAGAAUGUGGAUUUUUGGGUCAUCUUUGGCGCCCCCUAGAACUGCAGUACUCUGUACUCCUGCAGUGGCCAAAAUGACUUUUAAGAAUGUGGAUUUUUGGGUCAUCUUUGGCGCCCCCUAGAACGUAAACCGUGGGGUGCAGCGUCAUGAUUUUUACAACUUUGAAUGGGCAUGGGGUGUAGAUUGCCCUGAGCAAAUUUGGUAUCGGUGGGACGAAAGCCUUAGGAGGAGAUAGCCACAUUCCAAUGUGUGCGAAUCGGCAAAAAAUGCAAAAUAGCCCUUUAACCGUACAUUAUACAGAUACGCGCUCUUUGACUUUUUCGUAGAUCUAAUUGAGAUACACAUGAUUGUCAAUUUUUUUGUCAAUAUGACAAAGCGUAAAGGCGUGACACUCAACAACGUGUAUUUUCACCUUUCGGGAUAAGAAAAAAUGGACUUUUUUCUCCUGCCAUGGGGGGGCGCUCUUUUGGGGAGUAAAAAUUUCUUCACAAAUGUGUUGAUGGCUGGACAUUGCAUCAUCCUAAAAAACUUGGAGGCCAGUAUGGAAAAAAAUAAAAAGUUAUAACACUUUUAAGAAUGUGGAUUUUUGGGUUAUAUUUGGUGCCCCCUAGAACCCAAACCGUGGGGUGCAGCAAGAUGAUUUGUACAACUUUUAAUGGCCAUGGGGUGUAGAUUGGCCUGAGCAAAUUUGGUGCCGGUGGAAAGAUAGCCUUCGGAGGAGUUAGUGAAAUUCCAAUGUGUGCGGAUCAGCAAAAAAUGCAAAAUAGCCCUUUAACCGUACAUUUGACAGAUACAUGCCCUUUGACUUUUUCGUAGAUCUUAUUGAGAUACACGUGAUUGUCAAAUUUUGUGUCAAUAUGACAAAGCAUACAGGCGUGACACUCGACAAUGUGUAUUUUGACCUUUGGAGACAAGAAAAAAUGGACCUUUUUCUCCUGCCAUUGGGGGGCGCUCUUUUGGGGAGUAAAAAUUCCUUCACAAAUGUGUUGAUGGCUGGACAUUGCAUCAUCCUAGAAAACUUGGAGGCCAGUGAGGACAAAAGUAAAACGUUAUAACACUUUUAAGAAUGUGGAUUUUUGGGUUAUCUUUGGCGCCCCCUAGAACAUAAACCGUGGGGUGCAGCGUCAUGAUUUGUACAACUUUUAAUGGCCAUGGGGUGUAGAUUGGCCUGCGCAAAUGUGGUGCCGGUCGAACGAAAGCCUUCGGAGGAGUUAGCGAAAUUCCAAUGUGUGCAGAUCUGCAAAAAAUGAAAAAUAACCCAUUAACCGUACAUUUGACAGAUACGCCCACACUGACUUUUUUGUAGAUCUUAUUGAGAUACACGUGUGUGUCAAUUUUUGUGUCAAUAUGACAAAGCGUACAGCCGUCAUGUGAAUUUUCACCUUAGGGGGCGCUAUGGAGCCAUUUUGCAUUUUAUUGUUUGGGCGACUUCAGAAUAUCGAAUUUUUCACCAGGCCCGGUCGUCCUGCCAAAUUUCCUGAGUUUUCGCCAGUGGGAAGUGGGCCAUUUUCCAGUUUAAAGCGGAGGAAAAAUAAUAACGAAAGAAGGAAACAUGCAGGAACAAGAGGGCUCUCGCAGCUGCUUAGCAGCUACGCUCGUGCCCUAAAGAACUAGGACCCCGUUGGGGCACUGGCGGGCCCGAGCCGUGUCGUGUCUCCCCCCCCCAACGUGCUGCCUCCCCGUCCCAUUUGUGUCCUCUGGCCAUCGCCCUCUCUGUUAACGGCCAUCACUGCAAAGACCCUUUUCCUUCAUCGGCGUUUGCUGUUCUUCCUGCCAGUGCGUGUUGCUUUCACUUACACUUGCCACAGCCAGCCUCGUGAGUGCCUAGCCUAUUGGAUAUCACUGUCACCUACACAGGACAGUCAUUACCUUUCUAUUAAUACUUUGUGUUUUAAUUUCACAUUAAUUUCCAUAUUGUAUAAACGACUGGAAAAAACUUGAGCCCCUGCCCCUGUAUAAUCAUGUGCAUGUCUCUGUUCUAGCUCCAAGGUGAAUCUUCACUGCUCAUGUUCUCCUCAGAAGCACUCACCUCACUCCCCUCAGGUUACUGUACACAUGCACCAACUGCCUGCUUCAGGUUUGGAUGGAGCUUCAUGGUUGUCUUUUGGAGAAAUGACCAGUCAAGUUGUGUUUGAAAUUUGAUUUUUUUCAGGGGCAAAAGGAGCCUCUGCAUUCUUGUCAAAUAUGUAAAUAGCAUGUUUUUGCAGGUGCUAAAAACCAGACUCUGAGUGUGUGUGUGUGUGUGUGUGUGUGUGUGUGUGUGUGUGUGUGUGUGUGUGUGUGUGUGUGUCUAUGUGUGCGUUCAAGUCACAUGACAUAUUUAACCGGAUGUAGCUGCAAGACGGAGCCUCGUUGACUCUCCGUUUCAACUUAUCUCAAAAGUGAGGACCUCAACCUAUAUACCAGUUUUUAAAUUGUGUUGAUAGGCCAAAUAAAACCAGAGUUAUGAUAAAUUAUGUCCGCGAUACUUUUUUUCUGCUUAUUUUGAUCACGUUCGGCGCUCGAUCGCGCUGUAUGAGACAGGAAAACAUAGCAUGCAGACAUUAGCGACAGGUCUUACAGGCGGAAAAGGCUUGCCAAAAGAAAAAAAAAACACACCACAACAUCUCUCCUAUUGGUGGAAAACUUCACCACAACAACCAAUCCAAAAUUAUAUGGUGACUGAUUGACAAGGGGCGGGCGCUUACGUUCUUCCUGCAACAUGAGAAGGGAGGGAGGGACUCUCAGCAGGGAUGCAGUCUGGGACACGUAGUUGCAAACCUAGCGACUUUGUUGUUAGAUUCAAUGACUUUUCAGACACCCUAACGACUUUUUUUUAGAAAGAAAGGGACUUUUAUCGACUUCUUCUGGAGUUUAGAGACUCUGACAUGAAGCAGGCUUUCCUUACUGAGGAGUUAGCAACGCUGCUAAGGGUGCAGAGCCACACAUGCGCUCAGAGCUCUGCAUGGGAGACUGAAGCUGACAGAGCUGCAGCAGUUAGCAGGUUUCACCCUCAGAGACCACCAGGGGUUCAUGUUGAGGCAUUUUAAUUUUUUUUUUUUUUGUGCCAUAGACACUGUCAGCACAAUCUGCAGUUACACUAACAAAAAUGCUGCAAAAAACAAAGAAUUAUGGAAAAAUUACACAUGGACUGACAUAGAGGAGGAUCUACACAAGUUUUUUACAUCAUGUUUUACAUCAUGCAUCAUUUACAUCAUGUUUUUUUGUAGUGGCAUAAAUAAAAAGUGACAUUUGUGAGACUAUACAGUGUUUUGUAAAUAAUUUUACAAAGAACGCCUGGGCCAUUGCCUGCAUUUUGAUGUAAAUAGAGGUAAAUUACUAUGUUCUUUGUUAAAAAUUUGCAUAUGUUUUGAAGUUUACAAUUUUUAUUUGAAGUUUAAGUUUUAAAAACAGUUCAUCACACAUAUUUGUGGUUUAAUUUCACAUUAAUUUCCAUAUUGUAUAAAUGACUGGAAAAAACUUGAGCCCCUGCCCCUGUAUAAUCAUGUGCACGUCCCUGUUCUAGCUCCAAGGUGAAUCUUCACUGCUCAUGUUCUCCUCAGAAAUAGUCACCUCACUCCCCUCAGGUUACUGUACACAUGCACCAACUAUCUGCUUCAGGUUUGAAAUGGAGCUUCAUGGUUGUCUUUUGGAGAAAUGAACAGUCAAGUUGUGUUUGAAAUUUGAUUUUUUUCAGGGGCAAAAGGAAGCCUCUGCAUUCUUGUCAAAUAUGUAAACAGCAUGUUUUUGCAGGUGCUAAAAAACAGACUCUGAGUGUGUGUGUGUGUCUGUGUGUGUGUGUGUGUGUGUGUGUGUGUGUGUGUGUGUGUAUGUUGGCGUGUGUGUAUAUGUGUGUGUAUCCUGCAGUACUCUGUACUCCUGCAGUGGCCAAAAAGACUUUUAAGAAUGUGGAUUUUUGGGUCAUCUUUGGCGCCCCCUAGAACUGCAGUACUCUGUACUCCUGCAGUGGCCAAAAUGACUUUUAAGAAUGUGGAUUUUUGGGUCAUCUUUGGCGCCCCCUAGAACGUAAACCGUGGGGUGCAGCGUCAUGAUUUUUACAACUUUGAAUGGGCAUGGGGUGUAGAUUGCCCUGAGCAAAUUUGGUAUCGGUGGGACGAAAGCCUUAGGAGGAGAUAGCCACAUUCCAAUGUGUGCGAAUCGGCAAAAAAUGCAAAAUAGCCCUUUAACCGUACAUUAAACAGAUACGCGCUCUUUGACUUUUUCGUAGAUCUAAUUGAGAUACACAUGAUUGUCAAUUUUUGUGUCAAUAUGACAAAGCGUUCAGGCGUGACACUCAACAAUGUGUAUUUUUAUGUAAGGGGACAAGAAAAAAUUGACUUUUUUCUCCUACCAUGGGGAGGCGCUCUUUUGGGGAGUAAAAAUUCCUUCACAAAUGUGUUGAUGGCUGGACAUUGCAUCAUCCUAGAAAACUUGGAGGCCAGUGAGGACAAAAAUAAAAAGUUAUAAAACAUUUAAGAAUGUGGAUUUUUGGGUUAUCUUUGGCGCCCCCUAGAACCUAAACCAUGGGGUGCAGCAUCAUGAUUUGAAUAACUUUUAAUGGCCAUGGGGUGUAGAUUGGCCUGAGCAAAUGUGGUGCCGGUAGACAGAAAGCCUUCGGAGGAGUUAGCGAAAUUCCAAUGUGUGCGUAUCGGCAAAAAAUGCGGAAUAACCCUUUAACUGUACAUUUGACAGAUACGCGCGCAUGGACUUUUUUGUAGAUCUUAUUGAGUUACAUGUGUGUGUCAAUUUUUGUGUCAUUUUGACAAAGCGUAUAGGCGUGACACUCAACAAUGUGUAUUUUCACCUUAGGGGACAAGAAAAAAUGGACUUUUUUCUCCUGCCAUGGGGGGGCGCUCUUUUGGGGAGUAAAAAUUCCUUCACAAAUGUGUUGAUGGCUGGACAUUGCAUCAUCCUAGAAAACUUGGAGGCCAGUGAGGGCAAAAAUAAAAAGUUAUAAGACUUUUAAAUAUGUGGAUCUUAGGGUUAUCUUUGGCGCCCCCUAGAACCUAAACAGUGGGGUGCAGCGUCAUGAUUUGAAUAACUUUUAAUGGCCAUGGGGUGUAGAUUGGCCUGAGCAAAUGUGGUGCCGGUGGAACGAAAGCCUUCGGAGGAGUUAGCGAAAUUCCAAUGUGUGCGGAUCGGCAAAAAAUGCGAAAUAACCCUUUAACCGUACAUUUGACAGAUACGCCCGCACUGACUUUUUUGUAGAUCUUAUUGAGAUACAUGUGUGUGUCAAUUUUUGUGUCAUUUUGACAAAGCGUACAGGCGUGACAGUCAAUAGUGUGAAUUUUCACCUUAGGGGGCGCUAUGGAGCCAUUUUGCAUUUUCUUGUUUGGGCGACUUCGGAAUAUCAAAUUUUUCACCAGGCCCGGUCGUCCUGCCAAAUUUCAUGAGUUUUCGCCAGUGGGAAGUGGGCCAUUUUCCAGUUCAAAGGGGAGGAAAAAGAAGAAACUAGGACCCCGGUGGGGCACUGUCGGGCCCGAGCCGCGUUGCGCCGCCCCCAGCGCGACCACCUCCCCCUCCCGAUCGCGUCACACAUAAGGUCCAAAGAUGGUGUGCGCACUUGUCUGUGGUCAUUUCCCAUUAUAAUGAAUGGGAGGCGCAGUUUCUACCAAAACACUCGCUGCAGACAAACUACAAGUCCUAUUUGAAAAAAGUCUGGACCAUGAGUGAGGGCACAAACACAGCUAGGAUAUAUCCAAACGGCAAGUUGCUCCUCGUUACGGUGUUGCCGGGAGAGUGAUGCGAUUGAGCCAUUGAGUGAUGGGCAGGAAAAACUUGACUGUUUCUCCUGCCAUGGGGGAUGGGGGAUGGGGGGGGAUGUGGAUUCUUUUAAGAAUGUGGAUAUUUGGGUCAUCUUUGGCGCCUCCUAGAACGUAAACCGUGGGGUGCAGCGUCAUGAUUUUUACAACUUUGAAUGGCCAUGGGGUGUAGAUUGGCAUGAGCAAAUUUGGUGUCAGUGGGACGAAAGCCUUAGGAGGAGUUAGCCACAUUCCAAUGUGUGCGAAUCGGUAAAAAAUGCAAAAUAGCCCUUUAACCGUACAUUUUACAGAUACGCGCGCAUUGACUUUUUCGUAGAUCUUAUUGAGAUACAUGUGAUUGUCAAAUUUUGUGUCAAUAUGACAAAGCGUACAGGUAUGACAGUCAACAAUGUGUUUUUUCACCUUAUGGGACAAGAAAAAAUGGACUUUUUUCUCCUGCCAUGGGGGGCGCUCUUUUGGGGAGUAAAAAUUCCUUCACAAAUGUGUUGAUGGCUGGACAUUGCAUCAUCCUAGAAAACUUGGAGGCCAGUGAGGACAAAAAUAAAAAGUUAUAAGACUUUUAAAUAUGUGGAUUUUAGGGUUAUCUUUGGCGCCCCCUAGAACCUAAACCGUGGGGUGCAGCGUCAUGAUUUGAAUAACUUUUAAUGGCCAUGGGGUGUAGAUUGGCCUGAGCAAAUGUGGUGCCGGUGGAAUGCCAGCCUUCGGAGGAGUUAGCGAAAUUCCAAUGUGUGCGUAUCGGCAAAAAAUGCAAAAUAGCCCUUUAACCGUACAUUUGACAGAUACGCGAGUAAGACUUUUUUGUAGAUCUUAUUGAGAUACAUGUGUGUGUCAAUUUUUGUGUCAUUUUGCCAAAGCGUACAGGCGUGACACUCAACAAUGUGUAUUUUCACCUUAGGGGACAAGAAAAAAUGGACUUUUUUCUCCUGCCAUGGGGGGGCGCUCUUUUGGGGAGUAAAAAUUCCUUCACAAAUGUGUUGAUGGCUGGACAUUGCAUCAUCCUAGAAAACUUGGAGGCCAGUGAGGACAAAAAUAAAAAGUUAUAAGACUUUUAAAUAUGUGGAUCUUAGGGUUAUCUUUGGCGCCCCCUAGAACCUAAACCGUGGGGUGCAGCGUCAUGAUUUGAAUAACUUUUAAUGGCCAUGGGGUGUAGAUUGGCCUGAGCAAAUGUGGUGCCGGUGGAACGAAAGCCUUCGGAGGAGUUAGCGAAAUUCCAAUGUGUGCGGAUCGGCAAAAAAUGCGAAAUAACCCUUUAACCGUACAUUUGACAGAUACGCCCGCACUGACUUUUUUGUAGAUCUUAUUGAGAUACAUAUGUGUGUCAAUUUUUGUGUCAUUUUGACAAAGCGUACACGCGUGACAGUCAAUAGUGUGAAUUUUCACCUUAGGGGGCGCUAUGGAGCCAUUUUGCAUUUUCUUGUUUGGGCGACUUCGGAAUAUCAAAUUUUUCACCAGGCCCGGUCGUCCUGCCAAAUUUCAUGAGUUUUCGCCAGUGGGAAGUGGGCCAUUUUCCAGUUCAAAGGGGAGGAAAAAUAAUAACUAGGGCCCCGUUGGGGCACUGGCGGGCCCGAGCCGUGUCACGCCGCCCCCAGCGCGACCGCCUCCCCCACCCGAUCGCGUCACACUCAAGGUCCAAAGAUGGUGUGCGCACUUGUUUGUGGUCAUUUACCAUUAUAAUGAACGGGAGGCGCAGUUUCUACCAAAACGCUCGCUGCAGAAAAACUCCAUGUCCUAUUUGAAAAAAGUCUGGACCAUGAGUGAGGGCACAAACACAGCUAAGAUAUAUCCAAAUGGCAAGUUGCUCCUCCUUUUGCUUUUGCCGAGAGAGCAGUGCGUUUGAGCCAUUGAAUGAUGAACAGGAAAAACUUGACUUUAUUCUCCUGCCAUGGGGGGGCGCUCUUUUAAAGAGAAAAAACUCCUUCACAAAUGUGUUGAUGGCUGGACAUUGCAUCAUCCUAGAAAACAUGGAGGCCAGUGAGGACAAAAAUAAAAAGUUAUAAGACUUUUAAAUAUGUGGAUUUUAGCGUUAUAUUUGGCGCCCCCUAGAACCUAAACCGUGGGGUGCAGCGUCAUGAUUUGAAUAGCUUUUAAUGGCCAUGGGGUGUAGAUUGGCCUGAGCAAAUGUGGUGCCGGUGGAACGAAAGCCUUCGGAGGAAUUAGCGAAAUUCCAAUGUGUGCGAAUCUGCAAAAAAUGCGAAAUAACCCUUUAACCGUACAUUUUACAGAUACGUGGCCAUUGACUUUUUCGAAGAUCUUAUUGAAAUACACGUGUAUGUAAAAUUUUGUGUCAAUACGACAAAACAUACAGGCGUAGCACUCAACAAUGUGUAUUUUCACCUUAGUGGACAAGAAAAAAUGGACUUUUUUCUCCUGCCAUGGGGGGCGCUCUUUUGGCGAGUAAAAAUUCCUUCACAAAUGUGUUGAUGGCUGGACAUUGCAUCAUCCUAGAAAACUUGGAGGCCAGUGGGGACAAAAAUAAAAAGUUAUAAGACUUUUAAAUAUGUGGAUUUUACGGUUAUCUUUGGCUCCCCCUAGAACCUAAACCGUGGGGUGCAGCGUCAUGAUUUGAAUAACUUUUAAUGGCCAUGGGGUGUAGAUUGGCCUGAGCAAAUGUGGUGCCGGUGGAACGAAAGCCUUCGGAGGAGUUAGCGAAAUUCCAAUGUGUGCGGAUCGGCAAAAAAUGCGGAAUAACCCUUUAACCGUACAUUUGACAGAUACGCGCGCAUUGACUUUUUCGUAGAUCUUAUUGAGAUACAUGUGUGUGUCAAUUUUUGUGUCAUUUUGCCAAAGCGUACAGGUGUUACACUCAACAAUGUGUAUUUUCACCUUAGGGGACAAGAAAAAAUGGACUUUUUUCUCCUGCCAUGGGGGGGCGCUCUUUUGGGGAGUAAAAAUUCCUUCACAAAUGUGUUGAUGGCUGGACAUUGCAUCAUCCUAGAAAACUUGGAGGCCAGUGAGGGCAAAAAUAAAAAGUUAUAAGACUUUUAAAUAUGUGGAUCUUAGGGUUGUCUUUGGCGCCCCCUAGAAUCUAAACCGUGGGGUGCAGCGUCAUGAUUUGAAUAACUUUUAAUGGCCAUGGGGUGUAGAUUGGCCUGAGCAAAUGUGGUGCCGGUGGAACGAAAGCCUUCGGAGGAGUUAGCGAAAUUCCAAUGUGUGCGGAUCGGCAAAAAAUGCGAAAUAACCCUUUAACCGUACAUUUGACAGAUACGCCCGCACUGACUUUUUUGUAGAUCUUAUUGAGAUACAUGUGUGUGUCAAUUUUUGUGUCAUUUUGACAAAGCGUACAGGCGUGACAGUGAAUAGUGUGAAUUUUCACCUUAGGGGGCGCUAUGGAGCCAUUUUGCAUUUUCUUGUUUGGGCGACUUCGGAAUAUCAAAUUUUUCACCAGGCCCGGUCGUCCUGCCAAAUUUCAUGAGUUUUCGCCAGUGGGAAGUGGGCCAUUUUCCAGUUCAAAGGGGAGGAAAAAUAAUAAUAACAAACUAGGGCCCCGGUGGGGCACUGUCGGGCCCGAGCCGCGUUGCGCCGCCCCCAGCGCGACCGCCUCCCCCUCCCGAUCGCGUCACACUCAAGGUCCAAAGAUGGUAUGCGCACUUGUCUGUGGUCAUUUCCCAUUAAAAUGAAUGGGAGGCGCAGUUUCUACCAAAACACUUGCUGCAGACAAACUACAUGUCCUAUUUGAAAAAAGUCUGGACCAUGAGUGAGGGCACAAACACAGCUAGGAUAUAUCCAAACGGCAAGUUGUUCCUCGUUACGGUAUUGUUGACAAAUAUGACAGUCAACAAUGUGUAUUUUCACCUUAGGGGACAAGAAAAAAUGGACUUUUUUCUCCUGCCAUGGGGGGGCGCUCUUUUGGGGAGUAAAAAUUCCUUCACAAAUGUGUUGAUGGCUGGACAUUGCAUCAUCCUAGAAAACUUGGAGGCCAGUGAGGACAAAAAUAAAAAGUUAUAAGACUUUAUAAAUAUGUGGAUUUUAGGGUUAUCUUUGGCGCCCCCUAGAACCUAAACCGUGGGGUGCAGCGUCAUGAUUUGAAUAACUUUUAAUGGCCAUGGGGUGUAGAUUGGCCUGAGCAAAUGUGGUGCUAGUGGAACGAAAGCCUUAGGAGGAGUUAGCGAAAUUCCAAUGUGUGCGGAUCGGCAAAAAAUGCGGAAUAACCCUUUAACCGUACAUUUGACAGAUACGCGCGCAUUGACUUUUUUGUAGAU